RNAcentral lists this ribosomal RNA (292 nucleotides) under uncultured bacterium. Its description in RNAcentral is "partial 16S ribosomal RNA". It matches the Rfam family "Bacterial small subunit ribosomal RNA", at positions 505 to 796 of the family's 1533-position model. The record is from RNAcentral.
GUGUCAGCAGCCGCGGUAAUACAGAGGUCCCAAGCGUUGUUCGGAUUUACUGGGCGUAAAGGGUGCGUAGGUGGUCGGGUAAGUCUCAUGUGAAAUCUCCAAGCUUAACUUGGAAAUGGCAUGGGAUACUAUUCGGCUAGAGGAUUGGAGGGGGGACUGGAAUUCCCGGUGUAGCAGUGAAAUGCGUAGAUAUCGGGAGGAACACCAGUGGCGAAGGCGAGUCCCUGGACAAUUCCUGACGCUGAGGCACGAAAGCUAGGGGAGCAAACAGGAUUAGAUACCCCCGUAGUCC